This is a non-coding RNA of Acanthosepion pharaonis, 112 nucleotides long. NCBI's taxonomy places the organism in Eukaryota, Metazoa, Mollusca, Cephalopoda, Sepiida, Sepiidae. The record is from the annotation of a GenBank genome assembly.
UAUGGCCAUAUCACAUUAAACACCAGUUCUCAUACGAUCACCAAAGUUAAGCAACAUUCAGUCUGGUCAGUACUUAGAUGAGUGACUGCUUGGGAAUACCAGGUGCUGUAAU